UCUCUGGUGGUUCAGUGGUUAAAACUCUGUGCUUCUAACACAGGGGCACAAGUUUGAUCUCUGCUCUGGGAA
RNAcentral lists this transfer RNA (72 nucleotides) under Ovis aries (sheep). It matches the Rfam family "tRNA". From Rfam's summary of the family: Transfer RNA (tRNA) molecules are approximately 80 nucleotides in length. Lineage: Eukaryota; Metazoa; Chordata; Mammalia; Artiodactyla; Bovidae. The record is from Rfam by way of RNAcentral.